GUCUGGGUGGUGUAGUUGGUUAUCACGUUAGUCUCACACACUAAAGGUCCCCAAUUCGAACCUGGGCUCAGACA
Molecule: transfer RNA, 74 nt
Filed under: Triticum aestivum (bread wheat)
Lineage: Eukaryota; Viridiplantae; Streptophyta; Magnoliopsida; Poales; Poaceae
Description: tRNA-Val (CAC) (tRNA-Val-CAC-12-1)
Rfam family: tRNA
About the family: Transfer RNA (tRNA) molecules are approximately 80 nucleotides in length.
Source: Rfam by way of RNAcentral